CUAAGAGCUACUAUAAAAAGAUUUAUAUAUUUUUUAAUUAGGAAACGAUAGUUUAAAUUCAGAAAAGUAUUUUCGGGAUUGCAAUAUUACCAUAUGAUAGCAUAAGUAUGACACUUAUAGAGUAUAUGGUGCAUGUACGAAAAAUUGAAUGCACCAAUCACCUGCUACGCAACUUUAGUAGAAAAAUAAAUGAGAUUGACACAAAAGGUGAAUUUAUUUAUAAUCGUUAUCAUGUUGUAUUUAUUUAUUUCGGAGGUCCGCAAUAAAUGCACAAAAGUACAAAUGUGGAGAAUGAAGAGGACCGUCUUUGACGGGGGUGGUGGUGGGUCUCUUCACACUCUCCUAUUAAUUUUUACUUUCCUAAUAGUGGAUUCAUCAGGAAGUAUCAAACCAGGGUGUACAGCAUGAUAGUACAAGCGAUCCGGAAUCGUCUCAACCAAAUUGUAUACAUAAUGUUUGUUCAAUAAUUGCUUUCAAUUAUCUUAUAAGUGUAUAGGGUUCAUGUUCUACUGUAUUAUUUUAUUAAUA
Osmia lignaria (orchard mason bee) is the source of this 528-nucleotide non-coding RNA. The record is from RefSeq and is a predicted model, not a curated record. Lineage: Eukaryota; Metazoa; Arthropoda; Insecta; Hymenoptera; Megachilidae.